This 229-nucleotide ribosomal RNA is filed under the name uncultured bacterium. Its description in RNAcentral is "partial 16S ribosomal RNA". It matches the Rfam family "Bacterial small subunit ribosomal RNA", at positions 568 to 796 of the family's 1533-position model. The record is from RNAcentral.
UGCGUAGGCGGGGCAAUUAGUCAGUGGUGAAAUCCUGCGGCUUAACCGUAGAACUGCCAUUGAUACUGUUGCCCUUGAGUAUAGUUGAGGUGGGCGGAAUGUGUAAUGUAGCGGCGAAAUGCAUAGAGAUUACACAGAACACCAAUUGCGAAGGCAGCUCACUAAGCUAUAACUGACGCUGAGGCACGAAAGCGUGGGGAGCGAACAGGAUUAGAUACCCUGGUAGUCC